AGAUUGAACGCUGGCGGCAGGCCUAACACAUGCAAGUCGAGCGGUAGAGAGGUGCUUGCACCUCUUGAGAGCGGCGGACGGGUGAGUAAUGCCUAGGAAUCUGCCUAGUGGUGGGGGAUAACGUUCGGAAACGGACGCUAAUACCGCAUACGUCCUACGGGAGAAAGCGGGGGACCUUCGGGCCUCGCGCCAUUAGAUGAGCCUAGGUCGGAUUAGCUAGUUGGUGAGGUAAUGGCUCACCAAGGCGACGAUCCGUAACUGGUCUGAGAGGAUGAUCAGUCACACUGGAACUGAGACACGGUCCAGACUCCUACGGGAGGCAGCAGUGGGGAAUAUUGGACAAUGGGCGAAAGCCUGAUCCAGCCAUGCCGCGUGUGUGAAGAAGGUCUUCGGAUUGUAAAGCACUUUAAGUUGGAGAAGGUCGUAAUUAAUACGUUGCAAUUUGACGUUACCGACAGAAUAAGCACCGGCUAAACUUCGUGCCAGCAAGCCG
This 493-nucleotide ribosomal RNA is filed under the name uncultured soil bacterium. Its description in RNAcentral is "bacterial SSU rRNA". It matches the Rfam family "Bacterial small subunit ribosomal RNA", at positions 26 to 517 of the family's 1533-position model. The record is from RNAcentral.